CCCGCCGUACCUCAGUUGGUCAGAGGAUUGCAAUUCCGAUUGCGAGUGUCGCAGGUUCGAGUCCUGCCGGUGGGA
RNAcentral lists this transfer RNA (75 nucleotides) under Candidatus Bathyarchaeota archaeon. RNAcentral describes it as "tRNA-OTHER". It matches the Rfam family "tRNA". Rfam says of the family: Transfer RNA (tRNA) molecules are approximately 80 nucleotides in length. Lineage: Archaea; Thermoproteati; Candidatus Bathyarchaeota. The record is from RNAcentral.